UACGUAGGGUGCGAGCGUUAAUCGGAAUUACUGGGCGUAAAGCGUGCGCAGGCGGUUUUGUAAGCCAGAUGUGAAAUCCCCGGGCUUAACCUGGGAAUGGCGUUUGGGACUGCAAGGCUCGAGUGCGGCAGAGGAGACUGGAAUUCCUGGUGUAGCAGUGAAAUGCGUAGAUAUCAAGAGGAACGCCGGUGGCGAAAGCGAUUCUCUGGAUCGUUCCUGACACUGAGGCGCGAAAGCUAGGGGAGCAAACAGG
RNAcentral lists this ribosomal RNA (253 nucleotides) under uncultured bacterium. RNAcentral's name for it is "partial 16S ribosomal RNA". It matches the Rfam family "Bacterial small subunit ribosomal RNA", at positions 524 to 776 of the family's 1533-position model. The record is from RNAcentral.